This 138-nucleotide small nucleolar RNA is filed under the name Homo sapiens (human). RNAcentral describes it as "H/ACA box". The record is from RNAcentral. Lineage: Eukaryota; Metazoa; Chordata; Mammalia; Primates; Hominidae.
CUCUGUUGCCCAGGCUGGAGUGCAGUGGCAUGAUUACAGCUCACUGCAUCCUCAAACUAUCAGGGUCUCAUUCUGUUGCCCAGGCUGGAGAGCAGUGGCAUGAUCACGGCUCACUGCAUCCUCAAACACCUGGGCUCA